Long non-coding RNA from Schistocerca cancellata (South American locust), 257 nucleotides. RefSeq lists it as uncharacterized. NCBI's taxonomy places the organism in Eukaryota, Metazoa, Arthropoda, Insecta, Orthoptera, Acrididae. The record is from RefSeq and is a predicted model, not a curated record. The transcript is spliced from 3 exons.
CCCAGUGCUGCUCACACUGCUGCCCCAGCGUCGCCAUCUUCUCUCAGCUCUUCAUCCUCACCGAGAAGAAGCCCAGGCGUGAUGGCAAACUAUCAGCACUGGACACCAUACAGAUCGUCCUGGAAAACCAUAUAAUGUAAACUCACGUUAUCAAUAAACAAAAUCCACUGAUGAUGGCACAGAUGUUCCGAAACACGUUUGGGCAACAAGAAAAAACAGUGUUUUUACAUAAAAGGCGGAACCUAUAUCCAAUAACU